RNAcentral lists this ribosomal RNA (110 nucleotides) under Carlito syrichta (Philippine tarsier). The record is from RNAcentral. Lineage: Eukaryota; Metazoa; Chordata; Mammalia; Primates; Tarsiidae.
GUCUACAGUCAUACCACUCUGGACAUGCCCAAUCUCAUCUGACCCAGGAAGCUAAGUAGAGUUGGGUCUGGUUAGUAUGCAGAUGAGAAACUGCAAGAGCACUAUAUAGU